UACGUAGGGUGCGAGCGUUGUCCGGAUUUACUGGGCGUAAAGAGCGCGUAGGCGGCUUGUUAAGUGUGAAGUGAAAUCUCCAGGGCUCAACCCGGAAACUGCUUUACAUACUGGCAAGCUGGAGUGAUGCAGAGGUUUGUGGAAUUCCUGGUGUAGCGGUGAAAUGUGUUGAUAUCAGGAGGAACACCCAUGGCGAAGGCAGCAAACUGGGCAUCAACUGACGCUGAGGCGCGAAAGCGUGGGUAGCAAACAGG
RNAcentral lists this ribosomal RNA (254 nucleotides) under uncultured bacterium. RNAcentral's name for it is "partial 16S ribosomal RNA". It matches the Rfam family "Bacterial small subunit ribosomal RNA", at positions 524 to 776 of the family's 1533-position model. The record is from RNAcentral.